AAAGACUUAGUCCUAACCUUACCGUUAAUUUUUGCCAAAUAUAUACAUGCAAGUAUCUGCGCCCCAGUGUAAAUGCCCCCAACCCCUUACCAAGGUAAAAGGAGCAGGCAUCAGGCACACAUAUCAACCGUAGCCCAAGACGCCUUGCUUAGCCACACCCCCACGGGUACUCAGCAGUAAUUAACAUUAAGCUAUAAGUGUAAACUUGACUUAGUUAUGGCAACCUAAGGGUUGGUAAAUCUUGUGCCAGCCACCGCGGUCAUACAAGAAACCCAAAUUAACUGUAUACGGCGUAAAGAGUGGUACUAUGUUAUCACAAAGACUAAGAUCAAAAUGUAACUAAGCUGUCAUAAGCAAAAGAUACACUUAAGACCAACCUUAAAACGAUCUUAGAGUAUCGAUUAAUUAAACCCCACGAAAGCUAAGGCCCAAACUGGGAUUAGAUACCCCACUAUGCCUAGCCCUAAAUCUUGAUGCUUACUCCACUCAAGCAUCCGCCCGAGAACUACGAGCACAAACGCUUAAAACUCUAAGGACUUGGCGGUGCCCCAAACCCACCUAGAGGAGCCUGUUCUAUAAUCGAUAACCCACGAUACACCCAACCACUCCUAGCCAAAGCAGCCUACAUACCGCCGUCGCCAGCCCACCUCCAAUGAGAGCACAAUAGUGAGCGUAAUAACCACAUAAUCGUUAACAAGACAGGUCAAGGUAUAGCCCAUGGAGUGGAAGAAAUGGGCUACAUUUUCUAAGAUAGAAAACCACGAAAGAGGGUAUGAAACAACCCCCAGAAGGUGGAUUUAGCAGUAAAGUGGGACAAUAAAGCCCUCUUUAAGUUGGCCCUGAGGCACGUACAUACCGCCCGUCACCCUCCUCACAAGCAAACAAUCUCCAUAACUAAUGCACACCCUAGCUGAAGAUGAGGUAAGUCGUAACAAGGUAAGUGUACCGGAAGGUGUACUUAGCACAC
Molecule: non-coding RNA, 967 nt
Filed under: Pluvianus aegyptius (crocodile bird)
Lineage: Eukaryota; Metazoa; Chordata; Aves; Charadriiformes; Glareolidae
Description: 12S ribosomal RNA
Rfam family: Bacterial small subunit ribosomal RNA
Source: RNAcentral